Molecule: long non-coding RNA, 3128 nt
Filed under: Hordeum vulgare
Lineage: Eukaryota; Viridiplantae; Streptophyta; Magnoliopsida; Poales; Poaceae
Description: long non-coding RNA (HVUL_LNC008208)
Source: RNAcentral
AAUACAUCUCCCAUUACAUAACACAAUAACUCCUCUCAUGAAUACAUCUCCUUACACACAGGAAUAUAGCAAGAACGGACAAAAUUGCACGUUAGAACAAUGCCACAUCUGCUACUAUUCCAACAGUACAAUGUACUUCAUUCCACUCUCCUAUGAGACAUGCUCGAGAUGCGACAACUUGUCAUCCUACAAGAACAUUACACUGCACAUGAAUCAAUCAGAAGGAAAUAAAUAUAAAAAAUAUUAGAAAUAAAAAGAUUUGUGUUCAUCCUGUAGAUGAUGUAAAAAGAAAUGCGAACAAAAGUGAGAGAGACGUGCACUUAGUUUCCACUCCAUUUUCAUCCCUAGUGCUAGUGCAUCAUUAUUCUUAGAGGCUGUGUAAAUUAAAGCAGUGUGCAGUAUGUGUAAUAUGUACUUUAGGAACCUUCCGGCGUGCCGCAUCUCACUAAAUUAAAGCAGUGUGCAGUAUGUGUAAUAUGUGAUGUCAACAUACAUGGACAAAGAACAAGUAGCACCUAGAACUUAGAAGGAAGGUCAGAAUAUACAUACAUAGUAGAUGAGAAUAAUAUACGUACGAGGGAGAGAGGUUGGUCAAUCUACGCUUUCACUAUACGCAGACGCAGUAGCACUUCUAACUGAUGAGAUUAUUUUAACUAGCUACAGUCACAGCUUGCCACACAACGUGCUCAGUGAACAAGUGAGCGCUCUCGCAAAAAUCGAUGUAUGAUUACUCAAAAUCUCAAAUGAAAGGAUUCAAGCUUGCUUGCUGGUGCAGCCACAACAUCAACUCGAAAUCGAUGUUUGCCAAUUGGCUUAAACAUGAAACAUGCUAUAACUCAAACAUGAAACUUAGUACACAGAGUAAAUACAUGGUUGCCAAUUGGCUUGACAUAACUGCAGUAGAAGGUCAUAAAAAAUCAGAGGAUGCAGAUCACCACCAGUGCAAAGUUUAAUAAAAAAGGCAAUCCAGCACAGUUAAAAUGCCAAGAGAAAAAUGGCAGGGGGGCUAAUUAACCUGAUAUAGCUACAGUUCAUGAAAGGUGAAAAAGAAGUGUGGUGCUAGUGCUAGGUCAUUCCUCUUUAUGUCCAAAUUAAAAUAUGUGCAACCUCAAACGCCCUAUAGCCUCAGGCAGAGGUAAUAGUACACAGGCUGCACUGCACACAAGGACUGAGGUUGGCCCAAUCCAAGGAGCCGUCGGGUUGAAGGAAUCCAGCAAACGGCAGCAAACCUACUCCCACUACAACCCUAAAAUAUUGCAGACAUGGCAAACCACCCUUGAUUCAUGCAACCGGCACAGCGAACACCAGGGGCUGAGAUGGGCAUCCAUCCCUGCUUUCCACGGUGGGGAACAAUAAUGGGAGCCAGCCAGCCAGCCUUUCAUGGAUUGGAGCAAUCGCAUGGCAUCACAGGGAGUAAAGAAAUGGGGGUGAAAAAUUCCAGAGGCUGCGGUGCGGUAACUUGCACAGUUACAGAGCAGGGGCAUGUGGUGAUAAUGAGGCUUUAUUAUUAUUAUGAAUCUUUCCCCAAUGAGCGUAGUAGGCUGGUAGAUCCUGCUGUUGCAGGUGGAGUGGAGGAGGAAUGCAUUGAUGGAUGAGGAAGAACAAGGGCAGGAGGAGGAGGAUAAACGUUUGCUCGAAAAGAUGAGUGGCAUUGAAGCACUGCGCAGAUUUGUUUUUGCUAGAAACUUGCAACGGAUUGAUGGCGGAUUGGAGCACGGAUAUUGUACAUUGUACAGGCAGUACCGGUACCGGGAGGGGCAUUUUUUCGUGGACUUGUAGGCAGCAAGAACUUGCAAAAACUGUUAGUGAACUGAAUAGAGAGCACACUUUUUAUAGUCUGGGUUUUCAAGCUACCAUCAGCAUCAGCAUCGUGCAAGACCUACUUAAGCAAGAGCGGAAGAAGGUUUUCAAGCUACCAUCAGCAUCGUGCAAGACCGCCUCUCCAAAGUCCAGGAAGAACUACAGAUAGGUCUGGGUAGGAAACAGUAUAAUGCAGAUUAUUAGACAAUCUUUUAUUACUGUUGUAACUGAACUAUUUGUACAAAUCAGGAAACAAUAGUCAUCCAAUGUGAAUCACUCUACGCACAAUCAAUCAGGCAGAUACAAUUGAAGAACUGCAGAGUAAGUACAUUUGCCUUUCUGGAAUUAACAAUUAACUCUAGAUCAAGCUCUCUAAGCACUCAAAAGUUCCAACAGUAUUGCAUGAAAUUGCAAUGUACAAGCACGAAAAAGCUUCAGUGAAGACGCCUUAAGUUUGCAUUGGUUUAACAGUGGCAUACAGGCAUAUAUGAAACCCAACCACUGUCAGGAUUAUUAUAUCUUCACAUUAUAUCCAAAGCCAUUUGACUGGCCCACCACAUUUUCUUCAAAAGGCUCUCUUAUCCUAGAAAGUUACUGUUAUUUAAACUCAAGUGCAUCUAAUCAUAAAGGAUUUGUUCUUUAAAUUCAGGUUCAUGUCAUCACAACUAGUAUAGCAGUACAAGUUAAUCAUAAGACUUGACUAAUGUAUACUCUGCUUAUCAUAGAGACAUAGUGCAGAGCUAUAGAGGUAGUUUCUCGUUGCAGAUUCAAUCAAGGGAUCAUAAAAUUCUCUAAAAAAGAGAGACAAACCCACCCAGAAUACUCUUAAACUGCUCAGUUCAACAAGCAAUUCCAACCAAGUAUUUUACACCAUUGCAUGACUAAAUAUCAAACUAACUGAUAACGGGUUUUAUAGCUAAAUUAAGUUCACACAAGGAAAAAAUGACCCCUGUAAGCUAACCUGUACACCUUUUACUUGCAUCUCGUGAAUCAACCCCGUGAAAACACCUGCAAGGCAUAGGCUCUGGUAAAAAAAUAUGCAUAUGCGAUGUUCAAACGGUGACAAGAAGAUUGCAUCCCACUGUUAGUCUGAACAAAGAACAAAGACAUCAUACUAACAAGACAAAGAGCUCCCUGUGAUUGAUCCAUCAAGGAUGACAACUUAAGCACUAGUAUAACCAGCGAGGGAGGCGAACCUGCUUAGCAACACAGGCAGGACUGUCAGUACCCACUACUCAGAGUCAGAUGGUAUGAUACGGCGCGUCAGACGCCACAGACGUCACACCCCGUCCCCGUCGCACGACAGGUCCGACAUCUCACUCCUCCUC